GAGGGUGUAGCUCAGUGGUAGAGUGCGUGCUUGUCAAGCACGAGGUCCUGGGUUCAAGCCCCAGAACCUCCA
This 72-nucleotide transfer RNA is filed under the name Camelus dromedarius (Arabian camel). It matches the Rfam family "tRNA". From Rfam's summary of the family: Transfer RNA (tRNA) molecules are approximately 80 nucleotides in length. Their secondary structure includes four short double-helical elements and three loops (D, anti-codon, and T loops). Further hydrogen bonds mediate the characteristic L-shaped molecular structure. tRNAs have two regions of fundamental functional importance: the anti-codon, which is responsible for specific mRNA codon recognition, and the 3' end, to which the tRNAs corresponding amino acid is attached (by aminoacyl-tRNA synthetases). tRNAs cope with the degeneracy of the genetic code in two manners: having more than one tRNA (with a specific anti-codon) for a particular amino acid; and 'wobble' base-pairing, i.e. permitting non-standard base-pairing at the 3rd anti-codon position. Lineage: Eukaryota; Metazoa; Chordata; Mammalia; Artiodactyla; Camelidae. RNAcentral also lists the same sequence under 1 other name. The record is from Rfam by way of RNAcentral.